RNAcentral lists this ribosomal RNA (274 nucleotides) under uncultured bacterium. RNAcentral's name for it is "partial 16S ribosomal RNA". It matches the Rfam family "Bacterial small subunit ribosomal RNA", at positions 523 to 796 of the family's 1533-position model. The record is from RNAcentral.
AUACGGAGGAUCCAAGCGUUAUCCGGAAUCAUUGGGUUUAAAGGGUCCGUAGGUGGAUAAUUAAGUCAGAGGUGAAAUCCUGCAGCUCAACUGUAGAAUUGCCUUUGAUACUGGUUAUCUUGAGUUAUUAUGAAGUAGUUAGAAUAUGUAGUGUAGCGGUGAAAUGCAUAGAUAUUACAUAGAAUACCGAUUGCGAAGGCAGAUUACUAAUAAUAUACUGACACUGAGGGACGAAAGCGUGGGGAGCGAACAGGAUUAGAAACCCUAGUAGUCC